AGCCGAAACGGGAGCAUCCGCUCCCGUCCGCCAGUAUGGCUGGCGCUGAUGAGGCUGAUAAGG
Molecule: non-coding RNA, 63 nt
Filed under: Treponema sp.
Lineage: Bacteria; Pseudomonadati; Spirochaetota; Spirochaetia; Treponematales; Treponemataceae
Source: RNAcentral